UGCUAGAGAUUGUUAUAGUGAUAGCUAAGGAGUUAGGCAGUUACAAAAGCUAGAGAUAUAAAAUCUCAGAAAUUACCUUUUAAUCUCAGCGGGCUAAUUGUUUGUUGAGGAUCGCAAUCUGACUAGAUCAGCUGUGGUCAGUCAAGAAAGAGAUGGUCAGAAUUGGGGAAUUGGAGGAGCAAAUGAGGAAUUUGCAAGAAGUGUCAGAGGACUGUUGAGAAAGAGGUCUCAGUCCACACCUGUGCAAAUGCAGUCAAUUGUGGCACAAUUUGUGUCGGUGAAUCAACCUACUCUUGUGGAUAACAGAGGGUUGUU
This 315-nucleotide unclassified non-coding RNA is filed under the name Hevea brasiliensis (rubber tree). Lineage: Eukaryota; Viridiplantae; Streptophyta; Magnoliopsida; Malpighiales; Euphorbiaceae. The record is from RNAcentral.